CGAGUAAGCCAGAUGGUCGCUGCUGCAUUGUAUGCAGGAGAGGAAAGUCCGAGCUCCAUAGGGCAGGGUGCUGGGUAAUACCCAGUGGAGGCGACUCUAAGGAAAGUGCAACAGAGAUAUACCGCCUAUUAUAUUGUAAAUAUACCCAUGUAUAGGCUUUAAUAGCUUUUGGGAUUUACAAAAUAGGUAAGGGUGGAAAGGUGAGGUAAGAGCUCACCAGCGCAAUGGCGACUUUGCGGCUAUGUAAACCCCACCUGGAGCAAGAUCGAAUAGGAAGACACAUGGGGCUGCCCGUCCCGUCUUCGGGUAAGAUCGCUUGAGCCUAUUGGUAACAAUAGGCCUAGAUAGAUGACCAUUUAAUACAGAACUCGGCUUAUAGACUUACUCGAUAU
This 392-nucleotide RNase P RNA is filed under the name Clostridium thermopalmarium. RNAcentral describes it as "RNase P RNA component class A". It matches the Rfam family "Bacterial RNase P class A". From Rfam's summary of the family: Ribonuclease P (RNase P) is a ubiquitous endoribonuclease, found in archaea, bacteria and eukarya as well as chloroplasts and mitochondria. Its best characterised activity is the generation of mature 5'-ends of tRNAs by cleaving the 5'-leader elements of precursor-tRNAs. Cellular RNase Ps are ribonucleoproteins. RNAcentral also lists the same sequence under 2 other names. Lineage: Bacteria; Bacillati; Bacillota; Clostridia; Eubacteriales; Clostridiaceae. The record is from RNAcentral.